GGGGGUGGGUCCUCCAUCAUAACAACCAAUCAUCUCUAAUUAUAGGUUAGUCUAGUGACUCAAUAUCAGGACUUCAAUUUUUGCAAGCAUGUGGCUUGGGGCAAUGAAUCAUCAUGCUAAUGGCCAAGUUCUAUGACGAAGAAAAUAUGGGAUAAGUAACAUAUGAAAAUGGACGUUGAUACCAUAAGUUUUAAAAAAUCGUAUGCAUUAAUUUCAUAAAUCCACUCCUUCAGAAACAAAGUUGAUGGCCACCAGUGGAAAUUUCAUAAGGAGAUAUUUGCCCAUACAUUUAUGAAAUUUUUGGUUCUGAGUCUGCAUGAUACACAGAUUUUCCUCUUUCCGAUGUCACUUUCUUUCAUUAAAAAAAUAAUCAUCCCACAUUUAAAUAUCUGCUAUCCUAAACUUACUGCUCAACAAACCAUUUCAAUAUGUAGUAACUAAAAAGAUCAUAUUCUAAUAUUCUUAUCCCAGUCAUUCUUUUUUGGCCAAAUUCAUUGCAAUUUGAACGUCUAAAUUAAGUGAAGUUUUUUUUCUAAAAAAAAUCAUAUUUUCAUAUUCCCUUCUGUUAGUAAAACAAAAAAGGGGGGCCAGUUUGGCCAAGCAGUCAGCUUGACUGCUUGGCCAAACCAGCCCCCCUUAUUAUCAAAAAGGAGAAUAGAUGUUCUGAUUCAAAUCAAGAUAAAGACAUUGAGAAAGAGCUACAGACUCCAG
Molecule: long non-coding RNA, 711 nt
Filed under: Manihot esculenta (cassava)
Lineage: Eukaryota; Viridiplantae; Streptophyta; Magnoliopsida; Malpighiales; Euphorbiaceae
Description: long non-coding RNA (MESC_LNC000655)
Source: RNAcentral